AAGACACACAAACGAACUCUUGUCUGGUAUUCCGGGGGGCAUGCCUGUCCGAGCGUCAUUGCUGCCCUCAAGCACGGCUUGUGUGUUGGGCUCUCGCCCCCCGCUUCCGGGGGGCGGGCCCGAAAGGCAGCGGCGGCCGGUCCUCGAGCGUAUGGGGCUUCGUCACCCGCUCUGUAGGCCCGGCCGGCGCCCGCCGGCGAACACCAUCAAUCUUAACCAGGUUGACCUCGGAUCAGGUAGGGAUACCCGAAGCAUAUCAAUAAGCGGAGGAAAAGAAACCAACAGGGAUUGCCUCAGUAACGGCGAGUGAAGCGGCAAGAGCUCAAAUUUGAAAGCUGGCUCCUUCGGGGUCCGCAUUGUAAUUUGCAGAGGAUGCUUCGGGAGCGGCCCCCAUCUAAGUGCCCUGGAACGGGCCGUCAUAGAGGGUGGGAUGGGGUGUCCGCGCCCGUGGAAGUUCCUCGAUGCC
This 466-nucleotide ribosomal RNA is filed under the name Penicillium citrinum. RNAcentral describes it as "partial 18S ribosomal RNA". The stretch from base 223 to 466 matches the Rfam family "Eukaryotic large subunit ribosomal RNA", at positions 1 to 245 of the family's 3401-position model. The record is from RNAcentral. Lineage: Eukaryota; Fungi; Ascomycota; Eurotiomycetes; Eurotiales; Aspergillaceae.